AGGAUAGGUGUGAGAACAUGAAUCAGCUACGCCAGUAGUUGUGGAGUCGUAAUUGAAAUACCACCCUAGAAUAUUUGAAGUUCUAACUCAGUAGAGAUUGGAGGACAGUGUAUGGUGGGUAGUUUGACUGGGGCGGUCUCCUCCUAAAGAGUACAGGAGGAGUACGAAGGUGCACUCGUUACGGUCGGAAAUCGUGCCAAGAGUAUACAGGCAAAAGUGCGCUUGACUG
This 229-nucleotide ribosomal RNA is filed under the name Francisella tularensis subsp. holarctica. Its description in RNAcentral is "partial 23S ribosomal RNA". It matches the Rfam family "Bacterial large subunit ribosomal RNA", at positions 2140 to 2375 of the family's 2925-position model. Lineage: Bacteria; Pseudomonadati; Pseudomonadota; Gammaproteobacteria; Thiotrichales; Francisellaceae. The record is from RNAcentral.